Vespa velutina is the source of this 1700-nucleotide long non-coding RNA. RefSeq lists it as uncharacterized. NCBI's taxonomy places the organism in Eukaryota, Metazoa, Arthropoda, Insecta, Hymenoptera, Vespidae. The transcript has 3 exons. The record is from RefSeq and is a predicted model, not a curated record.
UGUAAAGUGGGCAGCGCGCCGUAGAAGACAGCGGCAGAGGAACGACGUCAGGGGAAGGAGAAAGGCUACGCUGUAGGUGAAGCUGCUGGCUCCGUGUCCAGUUACAAUUAUUAAGGACUCUUCGUGCCUUCGUGCAGGAAGAAGGAAGAAGAAGAAGAAGACGAAGACGGAGGUUAGAAUCCGGCGAAUGCUCCGCUAAUUAUCCGAUCCCCGCGUCUCCGGACUAAUGGGUCGGCAAAGAGGGAAAAAGAGAGGGAAAAAGAGAAUGAGAGAGAGAGAGACCACCGACAAUAUCCAAUUGAUCAUCCGACAAUCCUUUCUGAUGAACGAGGGAACUUCCUAUCUUGUAACGUGAAAGGAAAAUCCUCUUGAAAUCUUAUUUCGUUAUCGUCGACGAAAGUUAUCGUUUACACGUUUACACUACUCGAUCUACAACGCAACAUGCAAAUACACAGAAUAAGUAUAUGACACUAAAAUUUUACGACGAAUGAAAAACAAAAAGAAGAAAAAAAAAUUAAUACAUCAUAUACCCAAGUAAAAAUGAUAAAGAUAGAGUUUAACGAAGAAUCUAAAAAAAAAACAAUAAUGAUAAAUGAUAAGUAAACGAUUACAUUUAAUUACGUCUUAUUGGUUACUCGUCGACAUUCGAUUACUUUCAAUUAGAAUGACGAAAUCAUCAUUGACUAUGACGAUAUUAGAAAAUUUUCUUAAUAGUUUCGAUCCGUCUCUUGUAUAAACUUACGAGGAUGAUGCUAAUGGCCGAACGAUUCGCUAAUGAAUUCCCGGCACUGUUUGCCGGCUAUUUAUUUGGAGCAUCAUCAAAUAUACUGCGUACCCUCGGUAAUUGGUUAAUAAAACCCCGGAAGGGAGCUCUCUUUCCGGCGUGAUUAAUUGCGGCCGCGAGCGAUUCUCUUCUCGUUUCGAGGCUUGGCCAACGGCCCGCCAUCACAGUCACCUCCCUCGUCUCUCUUCUUCUUCUUCUUCUUCUUCUUCGCGAGUCUAUUCUCUCUCUCUCUCUCUCUCUCUCUCGCUUUCUCGCUCUCUCUCUCUCUCUCUCUCGCUCUCUCGCUCUCUCGCUCUCUCUCUCUCUCUCGCUCUCUCUCUCUCUUUUCUCUCUCUUUUUCUCUAUCUCUCUCACUCACUCUUUCUGCGUAUAGUUUCUCUUCUUAUCGUUUUGUAUCGCCUUCACGCUUUAAAGAAAGAGUUCAACGUCGCUUGAAACAACUUCAUUAGACCGUUAGAUCGUUAGUCCAUCGCAAAGAAAGGAAUGAAAAAAAAAAAAGAAAAACAAACAAUAAAGAAAAAAAUAAGAAGAAAAAAAACAUAUACGAAGCAUUGUACUUCGUAUCUUGAUAAGACGACUCUUUGUAUCCGUCAAUAUUUUAUAUAUUCUCUCGAAGAUCCGUGAAAUUCUUCUAUCGUCCAUUUUUAUUUUGAAUCUUUUUCGAACGAGUCCCGAUUAAUGGCAGAGAGUAUUUGAAAUGGAACGAUGAUUGUUAGAUCAACGUUUACUCCUCAUUGUUUGUUGUCGAUCAGAAAAAAGUGAUCUCCAUUUACUUCGUAGUAUAUAUGUACGUGUGCAUAUGUUCGUAACUGUAGUCGGUGAAAUUAAUUUUUAUAUCGUCGAUUAUAAAAUUAAAAAAAAAUAUAUUCAAGUAUCUGUUAAGUAAAGAAUACUUAUAUAAAUGAACACGUAUUUA